This 227-nucleotide long non-coding RNA is filed under the name Olea europaea (common olive). RNAcentral describes it as "long non-coding RNA (OEUR_LNC005636)". The record is from RNAcentral. Lineage: Eukaryota; Viridiplantae; Streptophyta; Magnoliopsida; Lamiales; Oleaceae.
CCCAGAGCUAUUACUCUAUUCUCGUCCAAACCUUCAAGUCGCCCAAGGUAUUAACAAACAUAACGCGUCGUGGUUAUCAAGAAGUGCAGUUAUCAAAGCAGUUAUUAAAGCAACCCUAUCACGUUCCACGAUUCAAGGAAUUCAAUCGAAAGCGGUUGAACGAUGAAGGGUAAUGGCAGCAGUUAAAAGGCAGUUUUCAUGACAAGGUGGCCAUUACGAAGAAAGUG